GCCAUGCUGGUCUAAUUUGAAAGACCCCUGCUAUUUCAAGCCGCAUAAGGCCUGGGUUCAAUUCCCAGGCAUGGAC
Non-coding RNA from Calycina marina, 76 nucleotides. The record is from the annotation of a GenBank genome assembly. NCBI's taxonomy places the organism in Eukaryota, Fungi, Ascomycota, Leotiomycetes, Helotiales, Pezizellaceae.